Molecule: ribosomal RNA, 306 nt
Filed under: uncultured bacterium
Lineage: Bacteria
Description: bacterial SSU rRNA
Rfam family: Bacterial small subunit ribosomal RNA
Source: RNAcentral
GACGAACGCUGGCGGCGUGCCUAACACAUGCAAGUCGAACGGAGCUCCGCCCUUCGGGACGGAACUUAGUGGCGAACGGGUGAGUAACGCGUGAAGAACCUGCCUUUCAGUGGGGGACAACAGUCGGAAACGACUGCUAAUACCGCAUAAUACUUUUGAGGGCAUCCUUAAAAGUCAAAGCUUAAUGUGCUGAAAGAUGGCUUCGCGUCUGAUUAGCUAGUUGGCGGGGUAACGGCCCACCAAGGCGACGAUCAGUAGCCGGUCUGAGAGGAUGAACGGCCACAUUGGGACUGAGAUACGGCCCAG